RNAcentral lists this ribosomal RNA (165 nucleotides) under uncultured archaeon. RNAcentral's name for it is "partial 16S ribosomal RNA". It matches the Rfam family "Archaeal small subunit ribosomal RNA", at positions 343 to 510 of the family's 1478-position model. The record is from RNAcentral.
AAAACUUUACAAUGCUGGCAACAGCGAUANGGAACCUCGAGUGCCAGGUUACAAAUCUGGCUGUCAAGAUGCCUAAAAAGCAUUUCUUAGCAAGGGCCGGGCAAGACCGGUGCCAGCCGCCGCAGUAACACCGGCGGCUCAAGUGGUAACCGUUAUUAUUGGGUC